GAUGAACGCUGGCGGCGUGCCUAAUACAUGCAAGUCGAGCGAACAGAUAAGGAGCUUGCUCCUUUGACGUUAGCGGCGGACGGGUGAGUAACACGUGGGUAACCUACCUAUAAGACUGGGAUAACUUCGGGAAACCGGAGCUAAUACCGGAUAACAUUUGGAACCGCAUGGUUCUAAAGUGAAAGAUGGUUUUGCUAUCACUUAUAGAUGGACCCGCGCCGUAUUAGCUAGUUGGUAAGGUAACGGCUUACCAAGGCGACGAUACGUAGCCGACCUGAGAGGGUGAUCGGCCACACUGGAACUGAGACACGGUCCAGACUCCUACGGGAGGCAGCAGUAGGGAAUCUUCCGCAAUGGGCGAAAGCCUGACAGAGCAACGCCGCGUGAGUGAUGAAGGGUUUCGGCUCGUAAAACUCUGUUAUUAGGGAAGAACAAAUGUGUAAGUAACUGUGCACGUCUUGACGGUACCUAAUCAGAAAGCCACGGCUAACUACGUG
RNAcentral lists this ribosomal RNA (497 nucleotides) under uncultured bacterium. RNAcentral describes it as "partial 16S ribosomal RNA". It matches the Rfam family "Bacterial small subunit ribosomal RNA", at positions 28 to 507 of the family's 1533-position model. The record is from RNAcentral.